This 468-nucleotide ribosomal RNA is filed under the name uncultured bacterium. RNAcentral describes it as "partial 16S ribosomal RNA". It matches the Rfam family "Bacterial small subunit ribosomal RNA", at positions 28 to 507 of the family's 1533-position model. The record is from RNAcentral.
GACGAACGCUGGCGGCGUGCUUAACACAUGCAAGUCGAACGGAAAGGCCCUGCUUUUGUGGCGUGCUCGAGUGGCGAACGGGUGAGUAACACGUGAGUAACCUGCCCUUGACUUUGUGAUAACUUCAGGAAACUGGGGCGAAUACCGGAUAGGAGCUCCUGCUGCAUGGUGGGGGUUGGAAAGUGUCGGCGGUUGGGGAUGGACUCGCGGCUUAUCAGCUGGUUGGUGGGGUAGUGGCUUACCAAGGCUUUGACGGGUAGCCUGCCUGAGAGGGUGACCGGCCACCUUGGGACUGCGAUACGGCCCAGAAUCCUAUGGGCGGCAGCAGUGGGGAAUAUUGCACAAUGGGCGGAAGCCUGAUGCAGCAACGCCGCGUGCGGGAUGACGGCCUUCGGGUUGUAAACCGCUUUCGCCUGUGACGAAGCGUGCGUGACGGUAAUGGGUAAAGAAGCACCGGCUAACUACGUG